Non-coding RNA from Ruditapes philippinarum (Manila clam), 73 nucleotides. The record is from the annotation of a RefSeq genome assembly. NCBI's taxonomy places the organism in Eukaryota, Metazoa, Mollusca, Bivalvia, Venerida, Veneridae.
GGCCGGAUAGCUCAGUCGGUAGAGCCGCGGAACGGUAUUCCGAAGGUCCCGGGUUCGAUUCCCGGUCAGGCUG